RNAcentral lists this ribosomal RNA (724 nucleotides) under Rhizophlyctis rosea. RNAcentral's name for it is "eukaryotic LSU rRNA". The stretch from base 289 to 442 matches the Rfam family "5.8S ribosomal RNA". Lineage: Eukaryota; Fungi; Chytridiomycota; Chytridiomycetes; Rhizophlyctidales; Rhizophlyctidaceae. The record is from RNAcentral.
AAAUAUUUGGUCUCGUGCCAAAUUAACACCUGUGUGCACCAUUGUCUGUAUUUGGUAGCUCGAGCGCGUCCCGGGAGCUCAACACUCCGUAUCGGGACGCCUACCCUUGUGGGUUGAAUUCCUCCCGAAUGCGAUGGUUUUUGGGCCGGCGGUUAAUUCCGCCAGACCGCCAGAGCUGACGGGGGGAUCUGCACGGGUUGGGCUACCGCCAUUUUUUGCAAUAACCUUUUGUAUUGGCCUUUCUGUCUGAACGAAGAUUUGAUCUUUAUUGAUUAAUGAUUUGAAAACAACUUUUGACAACGGAUCUCUUGGCUCUCGCAACGAUGAAGAACGCAGCGAAAUGCGAUAAGUAAUGUGAAUUGCAGAAUUCAGUGAAUCAUCUAAUCUUUGAACGCACAUUGCGCUCCUUGGUAUUCCGGGGAGCAUGCCUGUUUGAGAAUCAGUAAAUUCAUCAACCCACCGGUUUGGGGCAACCUGAGCGCGGAGGUUGGAUAUGGGUCCUGUUUGCGCCUGGCGCAAUGGCCUGAAAUGGAAUGUCAUGGAAUCAUUGGACGCCCGUCCGGUUUCAAGCGCAUGAAAGAGAUUUUCUCUGAAGUACGUCUUGAGGUGCCGUUCUUGGGAUCAGAGCCUCUGGUGCUGUAGACUCAACUAUCAUCCAGCGGGGGUCCUCAACGGGAUCCCCCUGAACACUUGGUCUCAAAUCAGGUAGGAAAACCCGCUGAAC